Long non-coding RNA from Protobothrops mucrosquamatus (brown spotted pit viper), 271 nucleotides. RefSeq lists it as uncharacterized. The record is from RefSeq and is a predicted model, not a curated record. NCBI's taxonomy places the organism in Eukaryota, Metazoa, Chordata, Lepidosauria, Squamata, Viperidae. The transcript is spliced from 2 exons.
UGAGGGCACGAAUGAAGCUGAAGGACUCAUUCCUUGCUUCUCAUAGUCAACAGAGGAAGAGCUCAGGUUGGCUUGAAAGCAGGAAGAGAUUGCCUGUCUUCCAGCCAAAUCCAGCCUCCAAAAUGAUCCAAGUUCUCUUGGUAACCAUAUGCUUAGCAGUUUUUCCUUAUCAAGGGAGCUCUAUAAUCCUGGGAUCUGGGAACGUGAAUGAUUAUGAAGUAGUGUAUCCACGAAAAGUCACUGCAGUGCCCAAAGGAGCAGUUCAGCCAAA